This 913-nucleotide ribosomal RNA is filed under the name uncultured archaeon. RNAcentral describes it as "bacterial SSU rRNA". It matches the Rfam family "Archaeal small subunit ribosomal RNA", at positions 30 to 922 of the family's 1478-position model. The record is from RNAcentral.
GUACCGGGGGGAGAUAAACAUGCAGUCGUGCGCCUCCAGCCAUGGUGGAGACGCGGCAUCCGGCUCAGUAACACGUGGCUAACCCACCCUUGAGACGGAGAAAACCCCGGGAAACUGGGGUUAAUCUCCGAUAAGAGAAGACACCUGGAAUGGGUCUCCUCUCAAAGGGCGCCUAGACCAUGCUUCUGGGCGUUGCUCAAGGACGGGGCCGCGGCCGAUCAGGUUGUUGGUGAGGCAACGGCUCACCAAGCCUAUAACCGGUACGGGCCGUGAGAGCGGGAGCCCGGAGAUGGGCACUGAGACAAGGGCCCAGGCCCUACGGGGCGCAGCAGUUGCGAAAACUCCGCAAUGCACGAAAGUGUGACGGGGCUACCCCGAGUGCCGUCCGCUGAGGGCGGCUUUUCCCCGGUGUAAGGAGCCGGGGGAAUAAGGAGAGGGCAAGUCUGGUGUCAGCCGCCGCGGUAAUACCAGCUCUCCGAGUGGUAGGGAUGAUUAUUGGGCUUAAAGCGUCCGUAGCCGGCUCGGCAAGUCUUCCGUUAAAUCCAACGAUUCAAUCGUUGGACUGCAGGAGAUACUGUUGGGCUAGGAGGCGGGAGAGGCCGACGGUAUUCUCGGGGUAGGGGUAAAAUCCUAUAAUCCCGGGAGGACCACCAGUGGCGAAGGCGGUCGGCUAGAACGCGCUCGACGGUGAGGGACGAAAGCUGGGGGAGCGAACCGGAUUAGAUACCCGGGUAGUCCCAGCUGUAAACGAUGCGGGCUAGGUGUUGGGGCGGCUACGGGCCGCUUCAGUGCCGCAGGGAAACCAUUAAGCCCGCCGCCUGGGGAGUACGGCCGCAAGGCUGAAACUUAAAGGAAUUGGCGGGGGAGCACCACAAGGGGUGAAGCUUGCGGUUUAAUUGGAGUCAACGCCGGG